Molecule: unclassified non-coding RNA, 349 nt
Filed under: soil metagenome
Description: partial contains 5.8S ribosomal RNA, internal transcribed spacer 2, and large subunit ribosomal RNA
Rfam family: 5.8S ribosomal RNA (bases 1-120)
Source: RNAcentral
GAUGAAGAACGUAGCGAAAUGCGAUAACUAAUGUGAAUUGCAGAAUUCCGUGAAUCAUCGAGUCUUUGAACGCACAUUGCGCCCCCUGGUAUUCCGGGGGGCAUGCCUGUCCGAGCGUCAUUGCUGCCCAUCAAGCACGGCUUGUGUGUUGGGUCCUCGUCCCCCCCGGGGGGCGUGCCCGAAAGGCAGCGGCGGCACCGCGUCCGGUCCUCGAGCGUAUGGGGCUUUGUCACCCGCUCUGCAGGCCCGGCCGGCGCUGGCCGACGCGAAAGCAACCAUUUUUUCUCCAGGUUGACCUCGGAUCAGGUAGGGAUACCCGCUGAACUUAAGCAUAUCAAUAAGCGGAGGA